Molecule: ribosomal RNA, 765 nt
Filed under: uncultured Glomus
Lineage: Eukaryota; Fungi; Glomeromycota; Glomeromycetes; Glomerales; Glomeraceae
Also listed under: 2 other names
Description: SSU rRNA
Rfam family: Eukaryotic small subunit ribosomal RNA
Source: RNAcentral
UACCAUGGUGGUAACGGGUAACGGGGUGUUAGGGCACGACACCGGAGAGGGAGCCUGAGAAACGGCUACCACAUCCAAGGAUGGCAGCAGGCGCGCAAAUUACCCAAUCCCGACACGGGGAGGUAGUGACAAUAAAUAACAAUACGGGGUUCUUUAGGAUCUCGUAAUUGGAAUGAGUACAAUUUAAAUCUCUUAACGAGGAACAAUUGGAGGGCAAGUCUGGUGCCAGCAGCCGCGGUAAUUCCAGCUCCAAUAGCGUAUAUUAAAGUUGUUGCAGUUAAAAAGCUCGUAGUUGAAUUUCGGGGUCAGUAGGUCGGUCGUGCCACUGGUAUGAACUGGUUUUACUGAUUCCUCCCUCUUGAAGAACUGUAAUGCCAUUAAUUUGGUGUUGCAGGGAAUCAGGACUGUUACUUUGAAAAAAUUAGAGUGUUUAAAGCAGGCUUUAGCUUGAAUACAUUAGCAUGGAAUAAUGAAAUAGGACGUUUGAUCCUAUUUUGUUGGUUUCUAGGAUUGACGUAAUGAUUAAUAGGGAUAGUUGGGGGCAUUAGUAUUCAAUUGUCAGAGGUGAAAUUCUUGGAUUUAUUGAAGACUAACUACUGCGAAAGCAUUUGCCAAGGAUGUUUUCAUUAAUCAAGAACGAAAGUUAGGGGAUCGAAGACGAUCAGAUACCGUCGUAGUCUUAACCAUAAACUAUGCCGACUAGGGAUCGGAUGAUGUUAAUUUUUUAAUGACUCAUUCGGCGCCUUACGGGAAACCAAAGUGUUU